GUGGGGAAUAUUGGACAAUGGGGGGAACCCUGAUCCAGCCAUGCCGCGUGUGUGAAGAAGGCCUUUUGGUUGUAAAGCACUUUAAGUUGGGAGGAAGGGCAGUAAGUUAAUACCUUGCUGUUUUGACGUUACCGACAGAAUAAGCACCGGCUAACUUCGUGCCAGCAGCCGCGGUAAUACGAAGGGUGCAAGCGUUAAUCGGAAUUACUGGGCGUAAAGCGCGCGUAGGUGGUUUUGUAAGUUGGAGGUGAAAUCCCCGGGCUCAACCUGGGAACUGCCUCAAAAACUGCAUGACUAGAGUACGAUAGCGGGUAGUGGAAUUUCCUGUGUAGCGGUGAAAUGCGUAGAUAUAGGAAGGAACACCAGUGGCGAAGGCGACUACCUGGACUGAUACUGACACUGAGGUGCGAAAGCGUGGGGAGCAAACAGGAUUAGAAACCCCGGUAGUCC
Molecule: ribosomal RNA, 450 nt
Filed under: uncultured bacterium
Lineage: Bacteria
Description: partial 16S ribosomal RNA
Rfam family: Bacterial small subunit ribosomal RNA
Source: RNAcentral